RNAcentral lists this transfer RNA (63 nucleotides) under Lachesilla anna. Its description in RNAcentral is "tRNA-Tyr". The record is from RNAcentral. Lineage: Eukaryota; Metazoa; Arthropoda; Insecta; Psocodea; Lachesillidae.
AAUGGGGUGGCUGAUAAAAAGUGAUAAACUGUAAAUUUAUAAAUGAUUAAAUAUCCCCCAUUA